GAUGAAGAACGCAGCAAAAUGCGAUAAGUAAUGUGAAUUGCAGAAUUCAGUGAAUCAUCGAAUCUUUGAACGCACAUUGCGCCCGCCAGUAUUCUGGCGGGCAUGCCUGUUCGAGCGUCAUUUCAACCCUCAAGCACAGCUUGGUGUUGGGACUCGCGUUAAUUCGCGUUCCCCAAAUUGAUUGGCGGUCACGUCGAGCUUCCAUAGCGUAGUAGUAAAACCCUCGUUACUGGUAAUCGUCGCGGCCACGCCGUUAAACCCCAACUUCUGAAUGUUGACCUCGGAUCAUGUAGGAGUACCCGCUGAACUUAAGCAUAUCAAUAAGCGGAGGA
This 332-nucleotide unclassified non-coding RNA is filed under the name soil metagenome. RNAcentral's name for it is "partial contains 5.8S ribosomal RNA, internal transcribed spacer 2, and large subunit ribosomal RNA". The stretch from base 1 to 120 matches the Rfam family "5.8S ribosomal RNA", at positions 35 to 154 of the family's 154-position model. The record is from RNAcentral.